This is a non-coding RNA of Caenorhabditis elegans, 350 nucleotides long. The record is from Ensembl. Lineage: Eukaryota; Metazoa; Nematoda; Chromadorea; Rhabditida; Rhabditidae.
CUCCUAGAGUCUUCGCCCGCCUCCAUGUGCUAUAUUUGUGCUCCAGGCUUCUGGAGCAAAAAGAUACAAGGCCACGCCCUUUUGCAUUUCUCCACAACGAAACGUUCAUAGAACAAAACAAAAGAUGGUGGAUACGGCAAGGGCGGGUAGAAGAAGAAGAUGAAGAAGGGGUCUCUUCCAUUGCCGUUGCUCUCUAUUUUUUGUGUUUCGUUUCAAAGCAACAUUUUAGAGCACACUACACACGAGAUGCCUCUCAAUUUUUCAAUUUCAACCACCACCACCAGUGUCGGAGGCGGUUGAAAUCUGAAGAAGAAGAGAGGAGAAGAAGAAAAAGCCGGAUAACAUCACUU